Molecule: ribosomal RNA, 330 nt
Filed under: uncultured bacterium
Lineage: Bacteria
Description: bacterial SSU rRNA
Rfam family: Bacterial small subunit ribosomal RNA
Source: RNAcentral
GACGUAUGUUCAGAGUUUGAUCCUGGCUCAGGAUGAACGCUAGCUACAGGCUUAACACAUGCAAGUCGCGGGGUCUGCUUCGGCAGACAACCGGCGCACGGGUGAGUUAACGCGUGUCCAACCUGCCCCUCUCUUUGGCAUAGCCUUUCGAAAGAGAGAUUAAUUCCGAAUAACAUAGUUUAGUUGCAUGAUUCGACUAUGAAAGCUCCGGCGGAGAGGGAUGGGGAUGCGUUCCAUUAGGUAGUAGGCGGGGUAACGGCCCACCUAGCCCACGAUGGAUAGGGGUUCUGAGAGGAAGGUCCCCCACAUUGGAACUGAGACACGGUCCAA